Molecule: long non-coding RNA, 2436 nt
Organism: Cydia pomonella (codling moth)
Lineage: Eukaryota; Metazoa; Arthropoda; Insecta; Lepidoptera; Tortricidae
Exons: 2
Source: RefSeq, a predicted model, not a curated record
GGCCUCAUUCGCACGAGCGCUUUAAAACGCGCGUUAAAAAAGCGUUUAUGGAUGACACAAAUGGAUACGCGUUGUUUGAUUUUCGGCUUGGGACUUUGGCCGUUAAAUCGAAUUUACCGUGUGGAACUUCUCUAGGCUUAGCGAGAAAACAAUAAAAACCGGUCAAGAGCAUGUCGGGCCACGCUCAGUGUAGGGUUCCGUAGUUACUCUUACGUCACAAUAAGCUAAACUGGAGCUUAAAGUAUAGUAAAUUGUUAACCAAGGGAUGAAACGGUACCUUUCACCCGAGUUAAACAAAUAGGCAAAUUUGCAUAAUCAGUACCUAAUUAAAGUAAGUCUUUUUACUAUGAAAGGAAAACUUUUUGCGAUAACUCAAAAACAGCUAAACUGAUCAUGUCCGCUAUAGUUUUCAUUUAAUGUCUUUCUUAAGCUCUACUUCCACGAUUUUUUUCAUAUUUUUUGGACCUAUGGUUCAAAAGUUAGAGGGGGGGGGGACACAAUUUUUUUUUCUUUCGGAGCGAUUAUCUCCGAAUAUAUUCACUUUAUCAAAAAAUGUUUCUUAAAAACCCUAUUAGUAUUAGUUUUGAAAGACCUUUCCAACGAUACCUCACACUCUAGGGUUGAAGCGAAAAAAAAAAUCACCCCCAAUUUACGUGUAGGGGAGGUACCCUAAAAAAUAUAUAUAUAUAUUUUAUUGUACGAUUUUGUCGGCUUUAUUGAUUUAUAUAUCUAUGCCAAAUUUCAUCUUUCUAGCACUAACGACCACGGAGCAAAGCCUCGGACAGACAGACAGACGGACAUGGCGAAACUAUAAGGGUUCCUAGUUGACUACGGAACCCUAAAAAAAAGACACUUUUAUUCUUUAUCGUGGUUAGCAGGUCACGAUUUUAUCGUGACGAUAAAUAAUUAAUUCAAUCGGUUGAAACGAAGGGAAAGUUCGAUAUUUUAAUUACGAUACAUAAAUAACUACUAAAACAUGUUUUCUGCAAGAAAUUAGUUAUCUUAUUAUAUUAUAAAAUAUUUAUUAUCCAUCUGUGAUGUUUAUUUCUUGUGAAGAUAUCGAAGUUUCGCUGUGUAGCACUUAUCGAUAUAUAAUAUGAUCAAAAUCGACCCGUCCACAUCCCUAAAAAUCCACACAUACACAUUUUUACGCACAUAUACAAAGCAGUAUAACCACCAAAAUGGCUACGGCUUGAGUAUUCAAAUUUGUAUUGAGAAAAGGCAACUAUAUCCUGUCUUUAUUUGCCUCUCUAUCGCUCGAAUAUGCAAUACGCAUGCACUCUUCGUCAAAAUCGGUUUCAAACUUUUUUGACUGAGUACGCGCAAUAAACGCCUAGUAGUAGUAUUUAAAUGUUUACCGUAUUCAUUUAAAGCAUCGUAGGACAAUGCCGCUAUGUAAACUGUAAGGUGGGUCUUAAAUUAGUGUGAGUUAUUUUGGCACCGGACUCAACCUUCACGUUACAAUAUUUAAAGUAUUGCGCUGUCAUAGUAACGAAAAUGAUAAACACGUCAAUCGGAGUAAACAAGUAACUAAAUGAUGCAAACAAGAAAAUAUUGCAAAAUAGGUACAUAUAUAUGUACCGAUAAUUAUUUUGUGUUAAAAAUAUGAGGCAAAUUAUACUGCCCGAUUAUACGAACUACAUAUUAAAAACGAUUAUCUUGGAAACAGUCAAUAGAUGUCGAACCACCAGCAAAGUUUUUGAAGAGGUGUAGUUCCUGGUACCAACUGGAAACUGAAACUAAUAAUCUACACUCAAGAAAAUGAAAUAUAGUCACAGAAAACCUAAUGUUUUAUUUUAUUAAAGAAAAACGUUAAAAAAAUGUGUAAACAGAAAUAUAUAUAUUUUUUAAUUCGUAGUAGAAUCACAUAAUAUGUAUUUAAUCUCCUGUACAUAGGAAUCGUCUUUUUGUAGGUUUAUAUAAACAAUAAGUACUUAGGUCGAUUUAGGCAUCAACUCAUCACACCAAAAUUUUGUUCUAACCGGUCACACCGCCAAUAUAACAAUAAUAAUAAUUCAGCCUAUAUACGUCCCACUGCUGGGCACAGGCCUCCUCUCAUGCGCGAGAGGGCUCGGGCUAUAUUAUUUGUUUCAACCCGUCACAAGUAGAUUUAGUUCUAUUAGGACACAUCGUAAUUUUGUAGCUAUUGGUCAAACUGCAAAUCUGUUCCUAUUCGUCAUUCCGUCAAACUGUUCUAACUAGUCACAAGGAGGAUACCUAAACAAAUUUCACUACCCGCCAAACGUGUAAUAUAGACCAUACAGUAGGUCUUAAUGGUGAUGGCGACUGUACAAUGGGGUUGCGUAUACAUACAAAGAGCAUUCAAAUAGUUGGUGAUAGACCAAGUGACCGAGUUACUAACAGUUAUAUUAUAUCUUUUUUAUAAAUAAUGUAAUAGCGUAAUUUUUGGAAAAAUAAUAAAGGAUUCAUGAACCA